UACGAAGGGGGCUAGCGUUGCUCGGAAUCACUGGGCGUAAAGCGCACGUAGGCGGAUUGCUAAGUCAGGGGUGAAAUCCUGGAGCUCAACUCCAGAACUGCCUUUGAUACUGGCGACCUUGAGUCCGGGAGAGGUGAGUGGAACUGCGAGUGUAGAGGUGAAAUUCGUAGAUAUUCGCAAGAACACCAGUGGCGAAGGCGGCUCACUGGCCCGGUACUGACGCUGAGGUGCGAAAGCG
This 238-nucleotide ribosomal RNA is filed under the name uncultured bacterium. Its description in RNAcentral is "partial 16S ribosomal RNA". It matches the Rfam family "Bacterial small subunit ribosomal RNA", at positions 524 to 761 of the family's 1533-position model. The record is from RNAcentral.